Long non-coding RNA from Sinocyclocheilus anshuiensis, 363 nucleotides. RefSeq lists it as uncharacterized. The record is from RefSeq and is a predicted model, not a curated record. The transcript has 3 exons. NCBI's taxonomy places the organism in Eukaryota, Metazoa, Chordata, Actinopteri, Cypriniformes, Cyprinidae.
UUCCACUGAAGUGCGUGAAUUUCAUACCAAACCCAUACUUCGCAUUCCACCUUUACUGUCAAACCGGGAGAAAUAUUACUGAAAACAAUAGAACACCAAGAUAAAUAUACCUUUAAAGAAAUAAACCUCGUCCAGUUCUAUCGGUAGAGGUGUUUCUCAAUAAAGAGAAUUGCCUGAGAGAAACGACAGAAGUGUUUGGAGAGAUCGUUCACCCCUUUUUCUACGUUAUCAGUACUUGUGUAGCGUGGGGGCUCGUGCCAGGGCCCGGUAGGAGCCGGCACCAUUGCGUCCAACAAGUGGAGUGCCAACGGCAGCCCGGAGCAGGGGCUGGAGGAUGGGGGUGAUGAACUGGACAAGGCCAUG